RNAcentral lists this ribosomal RNA (253 nucleotides) under uncultured bacterium. Its description in RNAcentral is "partial 16S ribosomal RNA". It matches the Rfam family "Bacterial small subunit ribosomal RNA", at positions 524 to 776 of the family's 1533-position model. The record is from RNAcentral.
UACGGGGGGGGCAAGCGUUGUUCGGAAUUACUGGGCGUAAAGGGCGCGUAGGCGGCCUUCUAAGUCAGACGUGAAAUCCCUCGGCUCAACCGAGGAACUGCGUCUGAUACUGGAAGGCUUGAAUCCGGGAGAGGGAUGUGGAAUUCCAGGUGUAGCGGUGGAAUGCAUAGAGAUCCGGAAGAACACCAGUGGCGAAGGCGGCCCGCUGGGCAGUGGCUGACGCUGAGGCGCGACAGCGUGGGGAGCAAACAGG